This is a non-coding RNA of Manis javanica (Malayan pangolin), 3705 nucleotides long. Lineage: Eukaryota; Metazoa; Chordata; Mammalia; Pholidota; Manidae. The record is from RefSeq and is a predicted model, not a curated record.
GUGUCUGACGUGCUCACCCCUCCCUCUGGUGCCUCCAACCUUACAAGUUUAACUAUUACAAAAUGCAGUAGUACAUCUGUGAGGUAAGUGAAAGUUGAGGAGAACCAGAUAUCUAGAAAUGUGUAAAGAAGAAAGGAGUCCGGGCAAAAGUAAAAGAAAUUUGGGGUGGAAAAAGAAAAAAUAAAGGAAGGGGAAGAAGAGGAGGCAGAACUAGGGAAUUUCAACAGGGUAAAGCUAUAAGAGGAAGUGCAACCAGUCAGGAAAACUGGGGGAGGGGCCGCAGGGCGGAUGGGUCACGUUGCCGGCGGAGCCAUUUGGGUUGUGCGCGGCGGUUGGGCGCGGGGCCUGUUGGGUUGUGACGCACAUUCCAGGCUUUUAUUGCCUUAUUCCCGAGGGCUCAACAGAUCUAAGAUGGCGGCCCUUGCACCGGGGCAAGUACUGCUGGCGCACGAGUUACGGAAAGGCGACCUAAGGACGAAUUUAUUUAGGAAACCAUAGAAACUCGCCAAUUUUUGUGUGGUGUGAGGACUUCUGGACAUACAACAUUUGUGCUGGAAGCAUCUCAAAGGUCGGUGUGCGUGUGUGUACAGGCCUGCAUGGAUCUGGACAAUAAGUGGGGAAAAAUCUGUCAAUUGAAGCUGACUCCUGAAUGGCAUAGAUGAUGGAAUUAGUGAUUUAGGAGUUUAAAACAGUUACUUAUCAAUGUAGAGGAUAGUCUGAAAAUGCUUACUUGAAGUAUGAAAGAUAUAAAAAAGAUUUUAACUUCUGAGAAUGAAAAAUACGAUUUUUAAAUUUUAAGUUGUUUAGGGAGUUUCCUGUUCUUUUUCUGUUAUAAAUUUCUAGUUUAAUUAUAUUAUGGCUUGAGAAAAUACUUUGUAUACUUCUAGUUUUUUUCAUGUAUGUUAGGCUUUGCUUUAUGUGAAUAUUUCAUAUGUACUUAAAAACAAUGUCAGUUUUGUUCUUGGGUUGAGUAUUGUAUAACCACUGAAAAGAUUUCCUUGGUUAAUGAUCUUGUUCAGUCUUCCAUACUCUGUUGAUUUUCUGCCUGUUAAUUCUAAUUGUGAUAGAAGUGUUGAAGUCUUUAAGUUUCUUGUCAAUUUGUCUAUUUCUUGUUUUAUUUUGUCAGUUUUUGAUUCAUAUAUUAUGAACCUCUGUUAGGUGCAUAUGCAUUUAGGAUUGCUGUGCCUUCUGGUUCAAUCAACCCUUUUAUCAUUAGAUAAUUGCCCUCAUUUUCCCUGGUAAUUUUCUUUGUUCUGAAAUCUGUUUUUGUCUUUCAUAAAUAUAGCUAGUCCUGUUGUUUGAUUGAUGUUUGCAUGGUAUGUAUCUUCUCAUUCCCUUGCUAUUUAGGCUGCUUAUACCAAUGUAUUUGAAGUCUAUCUCUUGUAGACAGGAUAUUGUUUCAUGGUUUAGGUUUUUUGUUUUUUGUUAUUUUGGUAAUCUGACAGUUUCUGUGUUUGAGUUUUGGUCCUUAGGCCAUUUAUAAUAAAAAAUUGAUAUAUUUAGAUUUAGGUUUACUACUUUAUUUUUUGUUUUCUGUUUGUUAAUUUUUAUAACCUUUCUGCCUUCUUUUGGGUUAUUUGAAUAAUUUUCCAUUUUGAUUUUAUUGUUAUUUUUUAUUAUAUCUCUUUGUAUAGCCUUUAGUUUUUUCUUUAGGGGGUUACACAAUACAUACUUAAGUUUUCACUGUAUUUUAGGGGGUUAUACAAUAUAUACUUAAGUUUUCACUGUAUUUUACCCUGUAGUUUGGAAUAUAGGAACUGGAAUAUAGGAACAUUAACAUUUCAUAGGCCCCUUAACUCUCCCUCUUUUACAAUUGUCACAUACUGUAUUGCCAUACAUUGAAAACUCUAUCAGAGAAUGUUUGUCUUUUGUUUUCAGUCUUCACAAUUUAAAAAAACUCAAGAGAGACAAAUAACCUCCUGAAUUAUCCAAACAAAUAUUUCUGUUGCUCUUCAUUCCUGAUGAUUUAUGUUCCCUUCUGGUGUUUCCCUUCUGCAUGAAAACUUGUUGUAGCAUUUCUUUAGAGAAGAUCUUAUGGGUUAUGUACACUUAGGUUUCCAUCAUGAGAAUAUCUUUAAUUUAUUUUACAUUCCUUUACAUAAAUUACUUUCUUUGGUUAUUUUGUGUGGAGAGUUGCUUUCUUUCAGCCAAUUAAACGUGUACACUUCCUUCUGACUUCCAGAGUUUCUGAUGGGAAAACAGUUAUUAUUCCUUUAUGUGGUUGUAUGAUAUUUUCUUUGGCUUCAGUUUUAGCAAUUUUAUUGUGAUGCAGCUGGCUGUGGAUUUCUUUGUAUUUAUCCUUUCUGAAGUUUUCUUAGUUAAUUGCAUCUGUAGGUUUAUGUCUAUUGCCAAACUUAAGAGGUUUUCAGGCACUAGUUUUUUCAAAUAUUUUCAGCCCCACACUGUUUCUUCUAUAUUUCUGUUAUUGUCUCAGUUCCCUGAACCUUUGUAUAUUUAUGCUAUUUUCUGUUAGUAUUGGAUAUUUUCUGUAUAUCUCUUUUUAAGUUCCUUUGCCAUCUCCACUGUGCUACUGAGUCUGUCAUUUUAUUUUUUAAUUUUGGUUACUGUAUUUGUAACUUAAAAAAUUUGUCUUUUCUUGAUAUCAUAUUUAUUGACAGGGUUUUCUGUUUCAGUAUUUGUCACAAGAAUGUGAUUGCUUGUCUGAGUAUUGUUAUAAUAGUUGUCUUAAAAGUGUCAGAUAAUUGCAAGAACCAUUAUCUUGGUAUUUUUUUAUGAUUUAAUGCAUGUUAUGCAAUCUUGUCAAUAAUACUGCAAAAGUAUUGCUGUGCUAUUCUCUGUGCAUCAUAUGUAUGUGAUGUUGGUAUGUUUUAAUGCAUGUGACUUUGAUCUCUUAGUUAAUGUGUGCCAGAGUUUUCCACUGUAAAGUUACUGCUUUUCCCUUUCAAUUUCAUAUGAUUUGGUGGGAAUAUACUUUGAGAUUAUGCAAAUAUUGUGUUUCUUGUCAUACUUCACUCACUGAUUUUAUCCAUCAUGAUUAUUACCUGCCACAGUGAUUAUGUUACUCUUUGUUUCAUGGUUGUUUAGAAUUUCCAUUAUUCCUUCUACAUUCAUUAAUUGGAAUUCUACUAUAAGGAAGCUCUGUCCAUUCUUCCAUUUUACUAAUUUAAUCAAAUAUUUAUUUCAGUAUGGACUCAUUGGUGUUUAUUUAAGUCUCUUGAUUUUAAUCCAGUACUGUCAUUAUUUUGUUGCUAUGGCUAUCAAGUUUGGCUGUUGUGCUUUCCUUCACGUUGGCUCCUGUGUCCUUUUGAUAUGCUCCCAUUUUUUUUUUGAGCAUUGCUCUAUUUCCUGUCACCACAGUAUGUUCUAGGUACAUCUUGUUUUUUCCCAUCCCAGCUCUGGAAUCUACCGUUUCUAUAAAUGAUCUUGGUUCCUGUUAUUGAAGAAUGGUUUUUAGAAAGCAAUAUUUGUGUGCUCAUUGUAUCUCUGUUUCCGGGCCCUCUCAGUCAACAGAGUGAGGGAGUAUAUGUUUAUAUUCACAGUCUUAGAUGUCCUUAUUUCUAUAUUCUUUUGUAUGUAUUUGUUUAUGUGUAGUUGUAUGUUUCAUAUUAAAUGAUGAAUUCAUAUUAAUAUGUUUGAUUCUAAAUAAAAGUGCAAGGUUCUGAGACUAUAUUUGUAAAUGACAUAUCUGACAAGGGGUUAACAUCCAAAAUAUAUAAAGAACUCAUACGCCUCAACACCCAAAAA